RNAcentral lists this ribosomal RNA (254 nucleotides) under uncultured bacterium. RNAcentral describes it as "partial 16S ribosomal RNA". It matches the Rfam family "Bacterial small subunit ribosomal RNA", at positions 524 to 776 of the family's 1533-position model. The record is from RNAcentral.
UACGUAGGGUGCGAGCGUUGUCCGGAAUUAUUGGGCGUAAAGGGCUCGUAGGCGGUUUGUCGCGUCGGGAGUGAAAACCAGGUGCUUAACACCUGGCUUGCUUUCGAUACGGGCAGACUAGAGGUAUUCAGGGGAGAACGGAAUUCCUGGUGUAGCGGUGAAAUGACGCAGAUAUCAGGAGGAACACCGGUGGCGAAGGCGGUUCUCUGGGCAUGUCCUGACGCUGAGGAGCGAAAGUGUGGGGAGCGAACAGG